GAUGCGGUAGAGGAGCGUUCUGUAAGCCUGUGAAGGUGAGUUGAGAAGCUUGCUGGAGGUAUCAGAAGUGCGAAUGCUGACAUGAGUAACGACAAUGGGUGUGAAAAACACCCACGCCGAAAGACCAAGGUUUCCUGCGCAACGUUAAUCGACGCAGGGUUAGUCGGUCCCUAAGGCGAGGCUGAAAAGCGUAGUCGAUGGAAAACAGGUUAAUAUUCCUGUACUUCUGGUUAUUGCGAUGGAGGGACGGAGAAGGCUAGGCCAGCUUGGCGUUGGUUGUCCAAGUUUAAGGUGGUAGGCUG
Molecule: ribosomal RNA, 302 nt
Filed under: Priestia megaterium
Lineage: Bacteria; Bacillati; Bacillota; Bacilli; Caryophanales; Bacillaceae
Description: bacterial LSU rRNA
Rfam family: Bacterial large subunit ribosomal RNA
Source: RNAcentral